Molecule: non-coding RNA, 3913 nt
Organism: Pantherophis guttatus
Lineage: Eukaryota; Metazoa; Chordata; Lepidosauria; Squamata; Colubridae
Source: RefSeq, a predicted model, not a curated record
UCUUCGCCCACUUGGGAUCCCCCGCCGCCGCCGUCCGGGCUGCUCGCGGCGGUGCUCCAAGCGCCUCGAGCGUCGCCGCCGCGGGAGCGUGGAGCUUUUUUUGCGCGGAAAAAACACGCUUUUGGGGAAGAAGGGUGAGGAAAAAUAACACCCCGCGGAGGGAGAUUUUGUUAUUUUUUGCUGUUAUGAGUCCCUGACGUCACAUCCACCUGCUGGAUCUCCAGAAAAAAGGAAUCCGAGGUCCUCCUCUUCUCCACCCCCAAAAGCAAACAAACAAAACAGACGGGGGGGGGGGGAGAAGAGUGAAAGGGAAGGAAUUCAAAAGUGCAAAUGCUGCGCGAGCCAAUUUCCUCUUCUCCCCUCUGCUUUCUCUCUCUCUGUGUGUGUCGGGCGGCGUGCGCUCUCUCUCUCUCUCUCUCUCUCUCUCUCUCCCCUUUCUCCCCCACACUUGCCCCUUGCACUUUACCCAAUGAAAAGAGGAGAGUUCGGGAGGUGAAAGUUCAUUAGAAGGACAAACGCAUGUGUGCAAAGAAACAAGACACGUCCACCAUCUCUUUUUAAAGGCUCGCCUGCCCGCUGGCCCUUGUUGCGUGUUUGUUCUAGAGGUGAAGAAAGUCUCUUCGAUUGCAAGGAAUUUCGGCAUUCAACCCACGGGCUUGCUUUAAAAAAAAAAAAAAAAAAAAGGGCUCCCGGAGAACAGAACAACAAAACUUCCUCCUGGUUUUGGUUUUUGAGAGUGGUGGGUGGGUAUCGAUAUGCCUUCCCUGCUUUCUUCCUAUAAAGUUGACCACAGGUUAGCAUGUCCAGUGUGGUUUUAACCUAAGUUACCUGCUUCUGUAUCCAUUCUGAAAUAAAAGUUUGGAGUACAAGAAUACUCCAGAAAAAAGUUUGUUUUCUUUCUGGUAAGAUUGGUUUCCAUCAGCAGGAGAUAAAGGGAAGAAACUUUUUUUCCUUCUUCAAACAUCAAAUUCUCUUAACAAAUUUGUAAAGUUUAACUCUUCAUGAGAAGAAGCCCUAAAAGGCGGAAGGGGUAACCAUUUCUCCACAUUUGUCCCUUGCUUAGAUGAGCUGGAUAAAGAGUCCCUUCUAGGAACAGACAAGAUAGGCAUUUUGCAAACACUCUUGAAUGCAAUGCGUUUCCUAAUGUAAUACAUUGCAUUGUAUUAAUUGUACCACUGAGGCCUUUAUUCUCCUAACUUAGCCUAUUGGCAAUCUUUUACAGGCUGAAAAAACACAAUUUCAAUAUUUUUUCUAAUAUAUAUGAGUAAUCAGCUCUUCAAAGCCAUUUCUGAAAGUAUCCAAGCUAGUCCUGUAAUACAGAAUCAUAGUCCAUUAUAUUUAUAGAUAAGUAAAUCAGGGAACAGAAAAGGUUAUGUUACCUGUGUCAAGUUCACACAAUGAGUCAGUGGUAAAGCUGCAAGUAAUAUUCAAAGCUGCUUCCGUUUCUCAGACCUGUGGUUUAACCACUAAACAAUGCACCAUACUUGACAUGCAUAAUCUAAAGACUUAUUCGCUCAUUUUAUACUAUUAAUAAGUAUGGGCUCUGAAUGGAUCCCUAAUAAAACACUUUCAUAGCCUCAAUAAUCUAUUCUUACACCUAUCUUAUAAGGAGUUUUAUAAAUAUUUAUGCACAUUUUAACCCAUGACAGGUAAGUAUUAGAGUGAAAUACUGGCUCCAUUAUAUGCAAGUUUUUAAAAGGCCUACACCUUAACCUUGCACAUAUAAACCUUUCAUACACAAUUAUUUUUGCCUGGUCCUUGGUUUUGCAUAUGUGACUUAAUUAUAUGCCCCUUUGCCUAUCAAAGGGAUCCCAGUUACCAAAAUUACUUGUCUUACAUUUUAAACCUAUUUUAUUUAUUUUUGCCUGGUUUUAAAAUUUCCACUGGGAAUUUACAGCGUUUAAGCAUUUUCACAAAUGCUUAAUUUUGAAUGAAUGUUGAACAAAGAAUAGAAGAUAGAUAACUUUGAACUUAGUAAAUGUGCAUAUUAGACCAUAACCAGUUAUAAAUACAUGGCUUUGCAAAUGAUCCCUGUCUAAAUAUAUUACUAGCAAUAUUAGUAUAAUAGUCUACUUGGGAAAAAUACAAUUUUAAAAUAACUUAAAGCAUAUUUCAAAUUAAACUAGGUAUCUGUUUAUCUUUUGGGGAAAUGAUAAAAAUAAAACACAUUUAGUAUUUGGGUUAAAAUAAAUUGUGGUCUGAAUUGUAUUCUACUCCAAUCUUAAUUUUUUGUAAAUUGUCAUGUAUUUUUGGAUUCCAUGUAAUGACAGAAACCACCUGUACUGAUCUUGGAAAAUACCUCAUUCUCUAGAAAAUAUUUGUUUGCUUGCUUGCUUGUUUAUUUAAUUUAUAUGCUGUCUGUCUUGCCAAAAGCAACUCUUAUAGGCACUGGGAACUAUAUAGGACCCAAACGUCCUCCAUAUCUCAAUAUUUAUUGAUUAACCCUUGGGACAUAUCAAAGUGCAGAGUUCCAGAAACAAAUUAUUACUAAAAUUUGAUAAAAGCAAUUUAAAAUGGAAUUGAAUUAAAUACAAACAUCCUCCAUAUAAAAUAUUCAGCAUUAAUUCUUAAACUGGAAAAAUGUUAGUGGAUCCAUGUACCGGUAUGUCUCUAAAUUAGGCCUUUGAUCCAAUUGUGUACUGGCCUAACUAAUUAUUGAAAGGAUGGAAUAAUGAAACAAGUACAUACUGGCUUUCCUGAAUGUAAUAGACAUUUUUCAUUCUAUUAAUAUUACUACUAAGUUCCAUGUUUCUUUUGUAUGAUGUCAAAUGAGAUAAAUAGGCAUGUUGAUUUCUUACAUUGAUUAAUACACUAUAUAUAAAACAUUGAAUUUAGAUUUGCGUUGUAAAGCACACUACAAUUUUACAUUUGUCUUGCAACAACAAAGGUUACCUCCUAAAAUUUGAUGACAUUUCCAGAUCUAAUUAAUAGCUAUCAGAAUGCUUUAUUAGUUGCAAGAUGCAUAUGUGUCACAUGAGAGUCUUUCUAACACUAAAAUGCAGCGAUUCUAUGCACCAGAUUAUGCUGUUUAAAUCAUUUUUCUCCUUUGAUUAAUAUAAUCAAAUAUAGAUUUACUAUUACACCGCUGUAAAUUUCAUAGGUUAAAGAAUUUAUUGUAUGAACUGAAAAAUAAAUACUUUGCAUUUUCAUUCCAAAAUGCUCAGAUUAGUUUUAAUACUAUGAUGAGUGUUGUAAAAGGAAUUGAUAUACAUGUCCAAUGGAUUACAGUUAAAACAAACAGUUCAUAUUCAGUCUGAAAGGAUAUUGUAGAAUUUAAAUAUUACUUUAGUCAUUUCAGUUAUGAGGUUCAGUUUUAUUGUUGAAAGCAAAAGUUUUUGGGGGAAAAUAUUGUCAUAGUAUUUUUGCCUUGUAUAAGGAAAAUCAAUGGAUAUAAGGAUGCUAAAAGUUUCUAUCAGGCUCCCGGUUUCAUUUUUAAUUUAUUUUUUUUAAAAUUUCAUUUAUUGCUUCAUAUUUUCUUAAAUUACUAUAGAUAUAUACAUUGAAAAAUAAGUCCACAUGAAUUCAAAUGCAUUUACUGAUAAAUCAGUUUAGUAGUGCAAAUUUGAUAGUAGAAUAUUUGUAUUUUGGAAUAAGAAAUACCAUAAAAUAAUAAGUCUUUUUAAUGUUGCAAUAUGAGGUGUUACAUUCCAGUAUCUGUUCAACAAAAAUGAUGAAGGUUUGCAUGUCCAUUUGGUAGAUAUUAAUGGGGAUCUUAACUGCAGCUUAACAUAUUGUUCAUUUUCAACACUGUCACGUUGCACUCAUAUAGAGCACAUUUUAAUUUCUUGAUCAGUAAUCAAAUGGAAGUUUCUUUUGGCAAAUUAAAACGGGAAGGAUUUUUGUGUGGAAGAAAGGAUAUGGGAAUAUGACGCCACCUUUUGGUGAUAAAAGUAAAUACUACAGAUUUGAAUUC